RNAcentral lists this ribosomal RNA (393 nucleotides) under uncultured bacterium. RNAcentral describes it as "partial 16S ribosomal RNA". It matches the Rfam family "Bacterial small subunit ribosomal RNA", at positions 523 to 918 of the family's 1533-position model. The record is from RNAcentral.
AUACGGAGGAUACGAGCGUUAUCCGGAUUUAUUGGGUUUAAAGGGUGCGCAGGCGGACCGUUAAGUCAGGGGUGAAAAGUUCGGGCUCAACCUGAAUCGUGCCUUUGAUACUGGCGGACUAGAGUGCGAUAGGCGUGGCCGGAAUGUGGUGUGUAGCGGUGAAAUGCUUAGAUAUGCCACAGAACACCGAUCGAGAAGUCAGGUCACGAGUUCGCAACUGACGCUCAUGCACGAAAGCGUGGGGAUCAAACAGGAUUAGAUACCCUGGUAGUCCACGCCGUAAACGAUGAUCACUCGUUGCCGGGCAGUGAUGUUCGGUGGCCAAGCGAAAGCGAUAAGUGAUCCACCUGGGGAGUACGAUCGCAAGGUUGAAACUCAAAGGAAUUGACGGGG